This 660-nucleotide ribosomal RNA is filed under the name Brevundimonas sp. Muzt-B22. RNAcentral's name for it is "bacterial SSU rRNA". It matches the Rfam family "Bacterial small subunit ribosomal RNA", at positions 35 to 741 of the family's 1533-position model. The record is from RNAcentral. Lineage: Bacteria; Pseudomonadati; Pseudomonadota; Alphaproteobacteria; Caulobacterales; Caulobacteraceae.
GCUGGCGGCAGGCCUAACACAUGCAAGUCGAACGAACUCUUCGGAGUUAGUGGCGGACGGGUGAGUAACACGUGGGAACGUGCCUUUAGGUUCGGAAUAACUCAGGGAAACUUGUGCUAAUACCGAAUGUGCCCUUCGGGGGAAAGAUUUAUCGCCUUUAGAGCGGCCCGCGUCUGAUUAGCUAGUUGGUGAGGUAAAGGCUCACCAAGGCGACGAUCAGUAGCUGGUCUGAGAGGAUGAUCAGCCACAUUGGGACUGAGACACGGCCCAAACUCCUACGGGAGGCAGCAGUGGGGAAUCUUGCGCAAUGGGCGAAAGCCUGACGCAGCCAUGCCGCGUGAAUGAUGAAGGUCUUAGGAUUGUAAAAUUCUUUCACCGGGGACGAUAAUGACGGUACCCGGAGAAGAAGCCCCGGCUAACUUCGUGCCAGCAGCCGCGGUAAUACGAAGGGGGCUAGCGUUGCUCGGAAUUACUGGGCGUAAAGGGAGCGUAGGCGGACAUUUAAGUCAGGGGUGAAAUCCCGGGGCUCAACCUCGGAAUUGCCUUUGAUACUGGGUGUCUUGAGUAUGAGAGAGGUGUGUGGAACUCCGAGUGUAGAGGUGAAAUUCGUAGAUAUUCGGAAGAACACCAGUGGCGAAGGCGACACACUGGCUCAUUACU